This 253-nucleotide ribosomal RNA is filed under the name uncultured prokaryote. Its description in RNAcentral is "partial 16S ribosomal RNA". It matches the Rfam family "Bacterial small subunit ribosomal RNA", at positions 525 to 777 of the family's 1533-position model. The record is from RNAcentral.
ACAGAGGGGGCAAGCGUUGUUCGGAAUUACUGGGCGUAAAGGGCGCGUAGGCGGCCUGCUAAGUCGAACGUGAAAUCCCCGAGCUCAACUCGGGAACUGCGUCCGAUACUGGUUGGCUUGAAUCCGGGAGAGGGAUGCGGAAUUCCAGGUGUAGCGGUGAAAUGCGUAGAGAUCGGGAGGAAGGCCGGUGGCGAAGGCGGCGCUCUGGAACGUAUCUGACGCUGAGACACGAAAGCGUGGGGAGCAAACAGGA